RNAcentral lists this small RNA (1010 nucleotides) under Pan troglodytes (chimpanzee). Its description in RNAcentral is "processed transcript". The record is from RNAcentral. Lineage: Eukaryota; Metazoa; Chordata; Mammalia; Primates; Hominidae.
AGUGUCCUUGAUUUCCAGUGGCUGCUGUUGUUUGAGUUUGGUUUGGAGCAAAACUGAGGUAGUCCUAACAUUUCUGGGACUGAAUCCAGGCAAGAGAAAGAAGAAAAAGAAGAAGAAAAAGAGGAGGAAAAAGGUAGGGAGAAAUAAAGGGAGGAGAGAAGCAUAGUGAAAGAAAAAAAAAGUCCCUUUUCGACAUCACAUUCCUGUGUUUUCCCUCAGCCUGGAAAACAUAUUAAUCCCAGUGCUUUUACGCCCGGAAACAAAGAGACUAAGCCAGACUGUGGGGGAAAGGGAGAUAAGAAGGAUCCUGGAACUUUAAAGAGGGAAAGAGUGAGAUUCAGAAAUCGCCAGGACUGGACUUUAAGGGACGUCCUGUGUCAGCACAAGGGACUGGCACACACAGACACACGAGACCGAGGAGAAACUGCAGACAAAUGGAGAUACAAAGACUUAGAAGGACAGCUCCUUUCACCUCAUCCUACUUGUCCAGAAGUGGAUUACACAAUGACAUGGAGAAUGGGACCCCGUUUCACUAUGCUGUUGGCCAUGUGGCUAGUGUGUGGAUCAGAACCCCACCCCCAUGCCACUAUUAGAGGCAGCCAUGGAGGGCGGAAAGUGCCUUUGGUUUCUCCGGACAGCAGUAGGCCAGCUCGGUUUCUGAGGCACACUGGGAGGUCUCGCGGAAUUGAGAGAUCCACUCUGGAGGAACCAAACCUUCAGCCUCUCCAGAGAAGGAGGAGUGUGCCCGUGUUGAGACUAGCUCGCCCAACAGAGCCGCCAGCCCGCUCGGACAUCAAUGGGGCCGCCGUGAGACCUGAGCAAAGACCAGCAGGCAGGGGUUCUCCGCGUGAGAUGAUCAGAGAUGAGGGGUCCUCAGCUCGGUCAAGAAUGUUGCGUUUCCCUUCGGGGUCCAGCUCUCCCAACAUCCUUGCCAGCUUUGCAGGGAAGAACAGAGUAUGGGUCAUCUCAGCCCCUCAUGCCUCGGAAGGCUACUACCGCCUCAUGAUGAG